GCCAGGCAUGGUGGUGCAUGCCUGUAAUCCCAGAGGCUCAGGAGGCCGAGGCAGGAGGAUCGCAAGUUUAAAGCAAGACUCAGCAACUUAACAAGGCACUAAGCAACUUAGUGAGACCCUUUCUCAA
Molecule: small RNA, 127 nt
Filed under: Marmota monax (woodchuck)
Lineage: Eukaryota; Metazoa; Chordata; Mammalia; Rodentia; Sciuridae
Source: RNAcentral